RNAcentral lists this ribosomal RNA (253 nucleotides) under uncultured bacterium. RNAcentral describes it as "partial 16S ribosomal RNA". It matches the Rfam family "Bacterial small subunit ribosomal RNA", at positions 524 to 776 of the family's 1533-position model. The record is from RNAcentral.
UACGAAGGGGGCUAGCGUUGUUCGGAAUUACUGGGCGUAAAGGGCGCGUAGGCGGUCCUGAUCGUCGGAUGUGAAAGGCCUGGGCUCAACCUGGGAAUGGCAUCCGAUACGGCGGGACUGGAGUGUGGGAGAGGUUGGUGGAAUUCCCAGUGUAGAGGUGAAAUUCGUAGAUAUUGGGAGGAACACCAGUGGCGAAGGCGGCUCACUGGACCGGUACUGACGCUGAGGCGCGAAAGCGUGGGGAGCAAACAGG